RNAcentral lists this ribosomal RNA (453 nucleotides) under Bathophilus flemingi (highfin dragonfish). Its description in RNAcentral is "partial 16S ribosomal RNA". It matches the Rfam family "Bacterial large subunit ribosomal RNA", at positions 2004 to 2613 of the family's 2925-position model. The record is from RNAcentral. Lineage: Eukaryota; Metazoa; Chordata; Actinopteri; Stomiiformes; Stomiidae.
ACGAGGGCUUAGCUGUCUCCUACCCCCAGUCAGUGAAAUUGAUCUUUCCGUGCAGAAGCGGGACUGUUACCAUAAGACGAGAAGACCCUGUGGAGCUUUAGACAUUAGGGAGCCCUGCCCACGAGCCUGCUCGACCAGUAAAUUUCGAGGCCCCUCCCCAUUUGUCUUUGGUUGGGGCGACCACGGAGAAAAAACUAGCCUCCAUGAGGACCGGGAAUACUAUUUCUUUACCCAAGAGCAACAGCUCUAAGCGGCAGAAUUUCUGACCACCAGAUCCGGCUGAUGCCGAUCAACGGACCGAGUUACCCCAGGGAUAACAGCGCAAUCCUCUCCCAGAGCCCCUAUCGACGAGGGGGUUUACGACCUCGAUGUUGGAUCAGGACAUCCUAGCGGUGCAGCCGCUGCUAAGGGUUCGUUUGUUCAACGAUUAAAGUCCUACGUGAUCUGAGUUCA